CAUUAGACAAGAGUAAGUUAAAGCAAGGAGUAUAUUGCUCUAUAUAUAAUCAAAUUAAGAUGAAGGACAUCACUUUUGUUUUUAUUGUUCUGUUGGUUCUUUCCAUUGGAAUUGAAAAUGAAGGGCCAUUGAAGUUGAUAGAAGCAAGAACGUGCGAAGAAACACUGUAUGAGUUUAGCUGUGUAAGUAACAAAUGUGGCACUGAUUGUCGCAAUAAACAUGGAAACUUUGCAAGUGGUGAUUGCAAUGCCAUUGAAGAUUGCAUAUGUCGCUAUCCAUGUUAAUAAAUGUUUGACCUUUUUACAACAUUGUCCUCAUAGAAAAUGUUGUUUUAUAUGUAACCGCGGCAAUGAUGGAAUUAAAGAAAAUAAAGUUACUCACCAUAUUUAUUCCU
This is a long non-coding RNA of Glycine soja, 394 nucleotides long. RefSeq lists it as uncharacterized. The record is from RefSeq and is a predicted model, not a curated record. The transcript has 2 exons. NCBI's taxonomy places the organism in Eukaryota, Viridiplantae, Streptophyta, Magnoliopsida, Fabales, Fabaceae.